UACGUAGGUGGCAAGCGUUAUCCGGAUUUAUUGGGCGUAAAGGGAACGCAGGCGGUCUUUUAAGUCUGAUGUGAAAGCCUUCGGCUUAACCGGAGUAGAGCAUUGGAAACUGGGAGACUUGAGUGCAGAAGAGGAGAGUGGAACUCCAUGUGUAGCGGUGAAAUGCGUAGAUAUAUGGAAGAACACCAGUGGCGAAAGCGGCUCUCUGGCCUGUAACUGACACUGAGGCUCGAAAGCGUGGGGAGCAAACAGG
RNAcentral lists this ribosomal RNA (253 nucleotides) under uncultured bacterium. RNAcentral's name for it is "partial 16S ribosomal RNA". It matches the Rfam family "Bacterial small subunit ribosomal RNA", at positions 524 to 776 of the family's 1533-position model. The record is from RNAcentral.